RNAcentral lists this transfer RNA (89 nucleotides) under Sediminivirga luteola. RNAcentral describes it as "tRNA-Ser". Lineage: Bacteria; Bacillati; Actinomycetota; Actinomycetes; Micrococcales; Brevibacteriaceae. The record is from RNAcentral.
CCGGCACCAGCGUGGACGGGGAGAACGCGGCCUGCUCGAUCUCGGCGAAGAAGUCUUGCGGGUUCCGGUUCAGCUCCAGGGUGCCGACC